CACGUAGGGGGCGAGCGUUGUCCGGAAUUACUGGGUGUAAAGGGCGUGUAGGCGGUUUUGUAAGUCAGAUGUGAAAUCUCCGGGCUUAACUCGGAAACUGCAUCUGAAACUAUAAAACUUGAGUACUGGAGAGGAUAGUGGAAUUCCUAGUGUAGCGGUAAAAUGCGUAGAUAUUAGGAGGAACACCAGUGGCGAAGGCGACUAUCUGGACAGUAACUGACGCUGAGGCGCGAAAGCGUGGGGAGCAAACAGGAUUAGAUACCCGCGUAGUCCCUGA
RNAcentral lists this ribosomal RNA (277 nucleotides) under uncultured prokaryote. RNAcentral's name for it is "partial 16S ribosomal RNA". It matches the Rfam family "Bacterial small subunit ribosomal RNA", at positions 524 to 800 of the family's 1533-position model. The record is from RNAcentral.